RNAcentral lists this ribosomal RNA (278 nucleotides) under Pseudomonas jessenii. RNAcentral's name for it is "partial 23S ribosomal RNA". It matches the Rfam family "Bacterial large subunit ribosomal RNA", at positions 1396 to 1673 of the family's 2925-position model. Lineage: Bacteria; Pseudomonadati; Pseudomonadota; Gammaproteobacteria; Pseudomonadales; Pseudomonadaceae. The record is from RNAcentral. RNAcentral also lists the same sequence under 1 other name.
GCGAGGCUGAAAAGCGUAGUCGAUGGAAAACAGGUUAAUAUUCCUGUACUUCUGGUUAUUGCGAUGGAGGGACGGAGAAGGCUAGGCCAGCUUGGCGUUGGUUGUCCAAGUUUAAGGUGGUAGGCUGAGAUCUUAGGUAAAUCCGGGAUCUUAAGGCCGAGAGCUGAUGACGAGUGUUCCUUUGGAACACGAAGUGGUUGAUGCCAUGCUUCCAAGAAAAGCUUCUAAGCUUCAGGUAACCAGGAACCGUACCCCAAACCGACACAGGUGGUUGGGUA